This 442-nucleotide ribosomal RNA is filed under the name Actinomyces sp. oral taxon 446. RNAcentral describes it as "bacterial SSU rRNA". It matches the Rfam family "Bacterial small subunit ribosomal RNA", at positions 28 to 461 of the family's 1533-position model. The record is from RNAcentral. Lineage: Bacteria; Bacillati; Actinomycetota; Actinomycetes; Actinomycetales; Actinomycetaceae.
GACGAACGCUGGCGGCGUGCUUAACACAUGCAAGUCGAACGAUGAAGCGCUGUCUUUUUGGUGGUGUGGAUUAGUGGCGAACGGGUGAGUAAUACGCGGGCAACCUGCCCCUCUGCUUCGGGAUAAGCUUUGGAAACGGGGUCUAAUACCGGAUGUGCCUGUCUGGUCGCAUGGCUGGGCGGGGAAAGAUGUUUUUCGGCGGGGGAUGGGCUCGCGGCCUAUCAGCUUGUUGGUGGGGUGACGGCCUACCAAGGCGUCGACGGGUAGCCGGCCUGAGAGGGUGGUCGGCCACACUGGGACUGAGAUACGGCCCAGACUCCUACGGGAGGCAGCAGUGGGGGAUAUUGCACAAUGGGCGCAAGCCUGAUGCAGCGACGCCGCGUGGGGGAUGGAGGCUUUCGGGUUGUAAACCCCUUUCGGCGCGGGACAAGGCUCCGUUGGC